This 2931-nucleotide ribosomal RNA is filed under the name Escherichia coli. RNAcentral describes it as "bacterial LSU rRNA". It matches the Rfam family "Bacterial large subunit ribosomal RNA". The record is from RNAcentral. Lineage: Bacteria; Pseudomonadati; Pseudomonadota; Gammaproteobacteria; Enterobacterales; Enterobacteriaceae.
GGGUUGUGAGGUUAAGCGACUAAGCGUACACGGUGGAUGCCCUGGCAGUCAGAGGCGAUGAAGGACGUGCUAAUCUGCGAUAAGCGUCGGUAAGGUGAUAUGAACCGUUAUAACCGGCGAUUUCCGAAUGGGGAAACCCAGUGUGAUUCGUCACACUAUCAUUAACUGAAUCCAUAGGUUAAUGAGGCGAACCGGGGGAACUGAAACAUCUAAGUACCCCGAGGAAAAGAAAUCAACCGAGAUUCCCCCAGUAGCGGCGAGCGAACGGGGAGCAGCCCAGAGCCUGAAUCAGUGUGUGUGUUAGUGGAAGCGUCUGGAAAGGCGCGCGAUACAGGGUGACAGCCCCGUACACAAAAAUGCACAUGCUGUGAGCUCGAUGAGUAGGGCGGGACACGUGGUAUCCUGUCUGAAUAUGGGGGGACCAUCCUCCAAGGCUAAAUACUCCUGACUGACCGAUAGUGAACCAGUACCGUGAGGGAAAGGCGAAAAGAACCCCGGCGAGGGGAGUGAAAAAGAACCUGAAACCGUGUACGUACAAGCAGUGGGAGCACGCUUAGGCGUGUGACUGCGUACCUUUUGUAUAAUGGGUCAGCGACUUAUAUUCUGUAGCAAGGUUAACCGAAUAGGGGAGCCGAAGGGAAACCGAGUCUUAACUGGGCGUUAAGUUGCAGGGUAUAGACCCGAAACCCGGUGAUCUAGCCAUGGGCAGGUUGAAGGUUGGGUAACACUAACUGGAGGACCGAACCGACUAAUGUUGAAAAAUUAGCGGAUGACUUGUGGCUGGGGGUGAAAGGCCAAUCAAACCGGGAGAUAGCUGGUUCUCCCCGAAAGCUAUUUAGGUAGCGCCUCGUGAAUUCAUCUCCGGGGGUAGAGCACUGUUUCGGCAAGGGGGUCAUCCCGACUUACCAACCCGAUGCAAACUGCGAAUACCGGAGAAUGUUAUCACGGGAGACACACGGCGGGUGCUAACGUCCGUCGUGAAGAGGGAAACAACCCAGACCGCCAGCUAAGGUCCCAAAGUCAUGGUUAAGUGGGAAACGAUGUGGGAAGGCCCAGACAGCCAGGAUGUUGGCUUAGAAGCAGCCAUCAUUUAAAGAAAGCGUAAUAGCUCACUGGUCGAGUCGGCCUGCGCGGAAGAUGUAACGGGGCUAAACCAUGCACCGAAGCUGCGGCAGCGACGCUGAUGCGUUGUUGGGUAGGGGAGCGUUCUGUAAGCCUGCGAAGGUGUGCUGUGAGGCAUGCUGGAGGUAUCAGAAGUGCGAAUGCUGACAUAAGUAACGAUAAAGCGGGUGAAAAGCCCGCUCGCCGGAAGACCAAGGGUUCCUGUCCAACGUUAAUCGGGGCAGGGUGAGUCGACCCCUAAGGCGAGGCCGAAAGGCGUAGUCGAUGGGAAACAGGUUAAUAUUCCUGUACUUGGUGUUACUGCGAAGGGGGGACGGAGAAGGCUAUGUUGGCCGGGCGACGGUUGUCCCGGUUUAAGCGUGUAGGCUGGUUUUCCAGGCAAAUCCGGAAAAUCAAGGCUGAGGCGUGAUGACGAGGCACUACGGUGCUGAAGCAACAAAUGCCCUGCUUCCAGGAAAAGCCUCUAAGCAUCAGGUAACAUCAAAUCGUACCCCAAACCGACACAGGUGGUCAGGUAGAGAAUACCAAGGCGCUUGAGAGAACUCGGGUGAAGGAACUAGGCAAAAUGGUGCCGUAACUUCGGGAGAAGGCACGCUGAUAUGUAGGUGAAGUCCCUCGCGGAUGGAGCUGAAAUCAGUCGAAGAUACCAGCUGGCUGCAACUGUUUAUUAAAAACACAGCACUGUGCAAACACGAAAGUGGACGUAUACGGUGUGACGCCUGCCCGGUGCCGGAAGGUUAAUUGAUGGGGUCAGCGCAAGCGAAGCUCUUGAUCGAAGCCCCGGUAAACGGCGGCCGUAACUAUAACGGUCCUAAGGUAGCGAAAUUCCUUGUCGGGUAAGUUCCGACCUGCACGAAUGGCGUAAUGAUGGCCAGGCUGUCUCCACCCGAGACUCAGUGAAAUUGAACUCGCUGUGAAGAUGCAGUGUACCCGCGGCAAGACGGAAAGACCCCGUGAACCUUUACUAUAGCUUGACACUGAACAUUGAGCCUUGAUGUGUAGGAUAGGUGGGAGGCUUUGAAGUGUGGACGCCAGUCUGCAUGGAGCCGACCUUGAAAUACCACCCUUUAAUGUUUGAUGUUCUAACGUUGACCCGUGAUCCGGGUUGCGGACAGUGUCUGGUGGGUAGUUUGACUGGGGCGGUCUCCUCCUAAAGAGUAACGGAGGAGCACGAAGGUUGGCUAAUCCUGGUCGGACAUCAGGAGGUUAGUGCAAUGGCAUAAGCCAGCUUGACUGCGAGCGUGACGGCGCGAGCAGGUGCGAAAGCAGGUCAUAGUGAUCCGGUGGUUCUGAAUGGAAGGGCCAUCGCUCAACGGAUAAAAGGUACUCCGGGGAUAACAGGCUGAUACCGCCCAAGAGUUCAUAUCGACGGCGGUGUUUGGCACCUCGAUGUCGGCUCAUCACAUCCUGGGGCUGAAGUAGGUCCCAAGGGUAUGGCUGUUCGCCAUUUAAAGUGGUACGCGAGCUGGGUUUAGAACGUCGUGAGACAGUUCGGUCCCUAUCUGCCGUGGGCGCUGGAGAACUGAGGGGGGCUGCUCCUAGUACGAGAGGACCGGAGUGGACGCAUCACUGGUGUUCGGGUUGUCAUGCCAAUGGCACUGCCCGGUAGCUAAAUGCGGAAGAGAUAAGUGCUGAAAGCAUCUAAGCACGAAACUUGCCCCGAGAUGAGUUCUCCCUGACUCCUUGAGAGUCCUGAAGGAACGUUGAAGACGACGACGUUGAUAGGCCGGGUGUGUAAGCGCAGCGAUGCGUUGAGCUAACCGGUACUAAUGAACCGUGAGGCUUAACCUUACAACGCCGAAGGUGUUU